CAAGACCGGUGCCAGCCGCCGCGGUAACACCGGCAGCUCGAGUGGUAGCCGCGUUUAUUGGGCCUAAAGCGUCCGUAGCCGGUCCGAUAAGUCUCUGGUGAAAGCCCACAGCUCAACUGUGGGAAUCGCUGGAGAUACUAUCGGACUUGAGGCCGGGAGAGGCUGGAGGUACUCCCAGGGUAGGGGUGAAAUCCUAUAAUCCUGGGAGGACCACCUGUGGCGAAGGCGUCCAGCUGGAACGGACCUGACGGUGAGGGACGAA
This 262-nucleotide ribosomal RNA is filed under the name uncultured Methanobacteriaceae archaeon. RNAcentral's name for it is "partial 16S ribosomal RNA". It matches the Rfam family "Archaeal small subunit ribosomal RNA", at positions 447 to 708 of the family's 1478-position model. Lineage: Archaea; Methanobacteriati; Methanobacteriota; Methanobacteria; Methanobacteriales; Methanobacteriaceae. RNAcentral also lists the same sequence under 1 other name. The record is from RNAcentral.